UGCUUAGAGGACUAGUGAUUAGGCCUCGGCGCUCUCACCGCCAUGGCCGGGGUUCAAUUCCCCGGCCAGGGAA
Pangasius djambal is the source of this 73-nucleotide non-coding RNA. The record is from the annotation of a GenBank genome assembly. Lineage: Eukaryota; Metazoa; Chordata; Actinopteri; Siluriformes; Pangasiidae.